RNAcentral lists this unclassified non-coding RNA (474 nucleotides) under uncultured Marinobacter sp. RNAcentral's name for it is "partial 16S-23S ribosomal RNA intergenic spacer". The stretch from base 120 to 193 matches the Rfam family "tRNA". Lineage: Bacteria; Pseudomonadati; Pseudomonadota; Gammaproteobacteria; Pseudomonadales; Marinobacteraceae. The record is from RNAcentral.
CCUCCUUAACGAAAGCUGGAGGUUUCGGUCAGAGUCCACACGAAUUACUUGGUUAACGUGAAGAGAGCAAAAGGGUCUUUGCAGGCCCGACUGGUCUUGUCGAACCGACAAGCAAAACCGGGUCUGUAGCUCAGGUGGUUAGAGCGCACCCCUGAUAAGGGUGAGGUCGGUGGUUCAAGUCCACCCAGACCCACCAGAAUUUCGCUGCUCGUCGUUGCUUCCAGGCUCACGUGCUACUCGCACGCUACACCUGAAAGCGCCUAGAUCAGCAAAAUUCUUGGCUACUGUAAGGGGCUGUAGCUCAGUUGGGAGAGCGCCUGCCUUGCACGCAGGAAGUCAGCGGUUCGAUCCCGCUCACUCCACCAAAACUACCCUGAACCGAUUACCCUGGCAACGUUAGUGUACAGAAACGAAUGUUUCAAAAUGCUGAAGCCUUCCUUUUCUGAUCACUGGGUCAAAAUUGCUCUUUUACAA